Long non-coding RNA from Anthonomus grandis grandis, 563 nucleotides. RefSeq lists it as uncharacterized. Lineage: Eukaryota; Metazoa; Arthropoda; Insecta; Coleoptera; Curculionidae. The transcript is spliced from 3 exons. The record is from RefSeq and is a predicted model, not a curated record.
AUACAGUUCGAUGAUAUGAUCCGAAAUUUAAAAUAGUAUUUAGUGAACUUUCCUACCAGUCAAUGUCACUAGGUAUUUAAAUCAGUUAAAAUUUAUUUCGAUAAUUUGUGUGUUAUUGUUAGUUACUAUGGUAUACACGCUUAGGCAAAGAAUUGAAAUGAUUUUUAUUUAUGGCGAGCAAGGAAGAUGCGCAAGAAGAACGGCAGAAGUUUUUAAUAAUAGAAAUCCUAAUUGUAAUGUAAGUCACAGAUACAUUUUGGACGUAGUAGCUAAAUUUAAUGAAACGGGUUCAGUUGGAAACAAAAAAAGGGCAAGUCGGCGUGUUUUAAACGAAGAUGCUCAAGUAGAGAUUUUGGGAACAUUCGUUGCAGAACCCACCAAUUCUCUCCGUACAGUAGCACGUCUAACUGGAAUGUCACAUGAAACUGAACUUCAUGAGGACGAUUUUGAUAGGAGAAUAGAGUUUUGCGAAAUUAUGUCCAACUUAAUAAACACUCGUGCAAUUGUGACAGAAUUGUCGAUACUGGAGUGAGGACAAUCCCCACAUUUUCAGAGAGGGUGCU